This 380-nucleotide small RNA is filed under the name Pongo abelii (Sumatran orangutan). RNAcentral's name for it is "processed transcript". The record is from RNAcentral. Lineage: Eukaryota; Metazoa; Chordata; Mammalia; Primates; Hominidae.
UCAUAACCAAGCUGCUCCGCAACUACAGGUCUCAUCCCACCAUCCUGGACAUUCCUAACCAGCUCUAUUACGAAGGGGAGCUGCAGGCCUGUGCUGAUGUCGUGGAUCGAGAACGCUUCUGCCGCUGGGCAGGCCUACCUCGACAGGGCUUUCCCAUCAUCUUUCACGGCGUAAUGGGCAAAGAUGAGCGUGAAGGCAACAGCCCAUCCUUCUUCAACCCUGAAGAGGCUGCCACAGUGACUUCUUACCUGAAGCUGCUCCUGGCCCCCUCCUCCAAGAAGGGCAAAGCCCGCCUGAGCCCUCGAAGCGUGGGAGUCAUCUCCCCGUACCGGAAACAGCUCCCUGGCCUCCUGCCAGGCUCCCUCUUGCAUUAGGUUAAU